ACCAAUUCUAGCCUAAUUAAACUUAAACCAAAUUAUAUUCACCAAUUAAAUCAAAACAUUUACCUACUAAAAGUAUAGGAGAUAGAAAUUUAACACUAGAGCUAUAGAGAUAGUACCGCAAGGGAAAGAUGAAAGAUAAAUUUAAAGUACCAAAUAGCAAAGAUUAACCCUUUUACCUUUUGCAUAAUGAAUUAACUAGACUAACUUGACAAAGAGAUCUUAAGCCAAAACCCCCGAAACCAGACGAGCUACUUAAGGGCAGUCUUCUUGGACAAACUCAUCUAUGUGGCAAAAUAGUGAGAAGACCUUUAAAUAGAGGUGAAAAGCCAACCGAGCCUGGUGAUAGCUGGUUGCCCAGCUAUGGAAUUUAAGUUCAACCUAAAAUUUACCAAAAAAGACCUAAUAACACUACAUGUAAAUUUUAGUUCUAGUCAAAAGAGGUACAGCUCUUUUGACAAAGGAUUCAACCUUAUUUAGAGAGUAAUCAUAUCUGUUACCAUAGUUGGCUUAAAAGCAGCCAUCAAUUAAGAAAGCGUUCAAGCUCAACAUAAAAUAAACCAUAAUACCACAAACAAUUUAUCAACUCCUAACACAACCACUGGGCCACUCUAUACACAAAUAGAAGAACUAAUGUUAAUAUAAGUAACAAGAAUAAUAUUCUCCAUGCACACCUUUAUUUCAGACCUAAUAAUGACUGAUAUUUAACAACUAAAUAAAAUAACCCACCUAAUAAGCUCAAUUUAUUGAACGCAUUGUUAACCCGACACAGGAGUGCAUCCUAAAGGAAAGAUUAAAAGAGAUAAAAGGAACUCGGCAAACACAAAUCCCGCCUGUUUACCAAAAACAUCACCUCUAGCAUAAUUAGUAUUAGAGGCACUGCCUGCCCAGUGACACACGUUAAACGGCCGCGGUACUCUGACCGUGCAAAGGUAGCAUAAUCAUUUGUUCUUUAAUUAAGGACUUGUAUGAAUGGCCACACGAGGAUUUAACUGUCUCUUAUCUCCAAUCAGUGAAAUUGACCUUCCCGUGAAGAGGCGGGAAUAAUCAUAUAAGACGAGAAGACCCUAUGGAGCUUCAAUUAACUAACUCAUUAAUUUACAAAAACACCGAUAGAUACAAAACCACAAUUAAACUGAGCUAGCAAUUUCGGUUGGGGUGACCUCGGAGUAUAACACAACCUCCGAAUGAUAAAUAUCUAGACCUACAAGUCAAAAAUUUAAAUCAAUUAUUGACCCAAUAAAUUGAUCAACGGACCAAGUUACCCUAGGGAUAACAGCGCAAUCCUGUUAUAGAGUCCAUAUCGACAACAGGGUUUACGACCUCGAUGUUGGAUCAGGACAUCCUAUUGGUGCAGCAGCUAUUAAAGGUUCGUUUGUUCAACGAUUAAAGUCCUACGUGAUCUGAGUUCAGACCGGAGCAAUCCAGGUCGGUUUCUAUCUAUAUAAUUAUUUCUCCCAGUACGAAAGGACAAGAGAAAUAAGGCCUACUUCCCCAAAGCGCCUUAACAAAAAAAUUAUGAAAUAAUCUCAAUUUCUAAAAUAUUACUAUAACCCUAAAACAGGGUUC
This 1566-nucleotide ribosomal RNA is filed under the name Chrysospalax trevelyani. RNAcentral's name for it is "16S ribosomal RNA". It matches the Rfam family "Bacterial large subunit ribosomal RNA". The record is from RNAcentral. Lineage: Eukaryota; Metazoa; Chordata; Mammalia; Afrosoricida; Chrysochloridae.